UACGGAGGAUGCAAGCGUUAUCCGGAUUUAUUGGGCGUAAAGCGUCCGCAGGUGGUUUUCCAAGUCUGCUGUUAAAGCGCGAGGCUUAACCUCGUACAGGCAGUGGAAACUGGAUGACUAGAGUAUGGUAGGGGUAGCGGGAAUUCCCAGUGUAGCGGUGAAAUGCGUAGAGCUCGGGAAGAACAUCGGUGGCGAAAGCGCUCUACUGGACGACAACUGACACUCAGGGACGAAAGCUAGGGGAGCGAAUGGG
This 253-nucleotide ribosomal RNA is filed under the name uncultured bacterium. RNAcentral describes it as "partial 16S ribosomal RNA". It matches the Rfam family "Bacterial small subunit ribosomal RNA", at positions 524 to 776 of the family's 1533-position model. The record is from RNAcentral.